RNAcentral lists this unclassified non-coding RNA (348 nucleotides) under soil metagenome. RNAcentral's name for it is "partial contains 5.8S ribosomal RNA, internal transcribed spacer 2, and large subunit ribosomal RNA". The stretch from base 1 to 120 matches the Rfam family "5.8S ribosomal RNA", at positions 35 to 154 of the family's 154-position model. The record is from RNAcentral.
GAUGAAGAACGUAGCAAAAUGCGAUAAGUAAUGUGAAUUGCAGAAUUCAGUGAAUCAUCGAAUCUUUGAACGCACAUUGCCCCCGCUGGUAUUCCGGCGGGCAUGCCUGUUCGAGCGUCAUUUCAACCCUCAAGCCCCCGGGUUUGGUGUUGGGGAUCGGCUCUGCCCUUCUGGGCGGUGCCGCCCCCGAAAUACAUUGGCGGUCUCGCUGCAGCCUCCAUUGCGUAGUAGCUAACACCUCGCAACUGGAACGCGGCGCGGCCAUGCCGUAAAACCCCAACUUCUGAAUGUUGACCUCGGAUCAGGUAGGAAUACCCGCUGAACUUAAGCAUAUCAAUAAGCGGAGGA